GUGUGUUAAGGUUUGGGAACACAUUUAGCAUCUCUGGGAAGUGCUGGCUAGACUGUCCACCACAAAUACGAGCAGCAGUGUCCCUUCCUGCACCUCCAGCUGCUGCAAGGAGAGGCGUGCAGGAAGAGACAUCCCAGCUGACUGGCCAUCAGAGGUGAACCCGUGACCUGAACCUGUGAUCGCAUCACCACCACGAGGGGGACUUUGAAGGCCUUUCAAAGAGUCCUCAGAGCAGUUGUUUCAGGGCAGCACCAGCAGCUGUGGGAAAGCACCUUGAUGGAGCAUUCCACUCAAAGCAGGAAGCCUGCAAGAAGGAUCCUUGCAGCCCUGAUGCUCCCAUCUGUGCCAGCCACCAGCACUAGCCACUAU
This is a long non-coding RNA of Passer domesticus (house sparrow), 369 nucleotides long. RefSeq lists it as uncharacterized. The record is from RefSeq and is a predicted model, not a curated record. NCBI's taxonomy places the organism in Eukaryota, Metazoa, Chordata, Aves, Passeriformes, Passeridae. The transcript has 3 exons.